AGGUGGUAAAUCCUGGCCAAGGCUCCUCGAGCCAGGCCGGCUGGCAGUGCUGCAUCGUGCUGAAGGCGCUGAGGUUGCAGCGGAUGCAUUCCGGGCCAGUGAUAUGAUGUGGACAGGAAAAGUCUUUUGUUCUGGGAAAAUGGAGGACUGAAACCUCUUCAUGUCUUUUUCCCAGGCCCUGAUUUAGGAAGACCAAAACAGGGACUUCUACAGUAGCAGCUUAAUCAGCAGAUGCUGGGUGGUCGCCUCUGCACAUGGCCUGGGGGGCGGGGCGCCUUACCGCGUCACACUGGGUGGAUGGGCCUGUGUGUGGCCUCUCUCCAGCUGUGGCUGACAGUACUCACUCAGCCCAGGCUUCCAGGCCCUCCUGGGCCCUCCUAUCCACUGAAGGAAAUGGGAGAUGAGUGGGUAAUGGAAAAGCCUUUGGAGUCAGAUGUAAAUCCAUGACUUGACCACUUAUUGCUGUGAGACCCUGGACAGCUGGAUAUAGAGUUCUUGUUCUAGCAUCCGCCCUGGGAAUCCCCGGAACUGGGCCUCUUACCGACACCAUUGCCUGUAAUCCACAAACCUAGGAGCACAUGGUUAAAGCAUGAGAUGUGAAACCAGGAAGAACCAGGUCUGAACCUUAGCUCCACCAGUGGUAGCUUCAAACCUUGGUCCUUUCUGAGCCUGCUUCUUCAACCGUAAGGGAACGCUACACUUCCUUAGAAAUUAAGAGUGUGUGCUACACUGCUUUACCAGAGCAAGGCCAAAAGCAGCUUCAAUUAUGGUACAACUGUGUGAAGACACAAUGCAAAACCACUCAAGAAUGCUCACUCAAAUGGAUUUUUACCAUGGAACUCGGAAACGGGACCCAGAAAGUUGUUUUCUCAAGUGGAUGGAACAACACAAGCAAUCAGUAUCCUGAAACAGGCCCUGUUCCAACAAACUGACCCAGAAAGCAAGUAUGAGGACUCCUGUUUCCCUACGUACUCACUACUACAGCAAAGAUAUCAAACAUUGAUACCCACCAAUCUCUGGAUGGAAAAACAAAUCUCAGGGGCCUCACUAUUUUACCCUGGCUGGUUUCGAACUUCUGGGCUCCAGCUACCCCCAAGCCUC
RNAcentral lists this long non-coding RNA (1101 nucleotides) under Homo sapiens (human). RNAcentral describes it as "PREDICTED lncRNA (TCONS_00151096)". Lineage: Eukaryota; Metazoa; Chordata; Mammalia; Primates; Hominidae. The record is from RNAcentral.